AAUAUGAUUACUUAUAAAUAUAAAUAUAUUUCCAUAUUUGUGAAUAUAAUCAGGUUAAUAUACAUGUAUAUUUCCUUGCUUAUCAGCUAAGAAGACUUAGACGCAAUGAGCCCCAGAAACAGUGCAGAACAUCAACGGGAUGCAAACACAAGCCACAGGGUUGGAGAAGAUAUUUGAAAAACUUAUCUGAUAAACACUGCUAUCCAAAUUCUACAAAUAAAUCUUAAAACUCAAUGACAAGAAAAUGAACGAACCAAUUAACCAGUGGGCCAAAGACGUUAGUAGUCACCUCACCACAGAAGAUAUACAGAUAGCAAAUAAGUAUAUGAAAAGAUGUUCAACAGGAUACAUUAUCAGAGAAAUACAAAUUAAAACAACAGUGAGGUAACACUAUAUACAUAUUAGAAUGGCCAAAGUCCAGAACACUGAAAACAUAAAAAGCUGGUUAGGAUUUUGAGAAACAGGAUCUCCCAGCCAUUGCUUGUUGGAAUGCAAAAUAG
This 500-nucleotide long non-coding RNA is filed under the name Homo sapiens (human). RNAcentral's name for it is "HSALNT0204627". Lineage: Eukaryota; Metazoa; Chordata; Mammalia; Primates; Hominidae. The record is from RNAcentral.